Molecule: RNA transcript, 5913 nt
Organism: Tyto alba (common barn owl)
Lineage: Eukaryota; Metazoa; Chordata; Aves; Strigiformes; Tytonidae
Gene: ERC2
Gene name: ELKS/RAB6-interacting/CAST family member 2
Exons: 21
Source: RefSeq, a predicted model, not a curated record
GUCAGGGACCGGCAGCCCCGGCAGCCCGGCUCGCCGCUGGCUGAGGGAGACUCGCCGAGGGACAGGAAGACGAGGGACGGGAGCACACGAGCCGCCCCUCGAUUGCAGCAGGUUCCCUCUCUUCCUCCUCUCUCCCUGCUGCCUCCUUCCUCCGCGCAACCGAGAUGUCAGCUGAACGUGAUGUUGUAAAAUCCAUGUGAGGACGAAAGACAGAUGCAAUGAUUUGAAAGGUCUCUGACUUUGGAGGAACAACAGAUUUUUGCCUACUGGAAGAAUGCAGUGAAACUGCCAAUAUUUCUAGCUGGAAUUAUAAAUUUAAUAUUCAACUUUAGUGUUACAAGUUUCUUACUAAAUAGUACCUCAAAGUAGAAGAAAAAUGUAUGGAAGUGCAAGAACAAUCAGCAACUUAGAAGGAAGUCCCUCCAGGUCUCCUCGUUUGCCAAGAUCUCCUCGCCUGGGCCAUAGGCGAACAAAUAGUGGGGGAGGAGGAGGUACAGGUAAGACGUUAUCAAUGGAGAACAUCCAGUCCCUUAAUGCAGCCUAUGCAACAUCUGGACCAAUGUAUCUGAGUGACCAUGAAGGUGUAGCUUCUACUACAUUCCCAAAGGGCACAAUGACUCUUGGAAGGGCUACAAAUCGAGCUGUGUAUGGUGGUCGAGUCACAGCUAUGGGGAGCAGUCCUAAUAUUGCUUCAGCUGGACUUUCACACACAGAUGUCCUUUCUUAUACUGAUCAACAUGGAGGUCUGACCACAUCUUCACACCAUCACCACCAUCAGGUUCCUUCUAUGCUGAGGCAGGUUAGAGAUAGUACCAUGUUAGACCUGCAGGCUCAGCUUAAGGAACUACAGAGAGAGAAUGAUCUUCUCAGAAAAGAACUAGACAUUAAGGACAGCAAGCUGGGAUCCUCCAUGAAUAGCAUCAAAACCUUCUGGAGUCCUGAGCUAAAGAAAGAAAGAGUUUUGAGGAAAGAAGAAGCAGCCAGAAUGUCAGUUCUUAAAGAACAAAUGAGAGUUUCCCAUGAAGAAAAUCAGUUUUUGGAUGCCAGGAGAACAAAGCAUCUGCAAAUGACAAUCCAGGCACUUCAAGAUGAGCUUAGAACCCAGAGAGACCUUAAUCAUCUUCUUCAGCAAGAAAGUGGAAACCGAGGGGCUGAGCAUUUUACCAUUGAGCUCACGGAGGAGAAUUUUCGAAGACUUCAAGCAGAACAUGAUAGACAGGCUAAAGAGCUCUUUCUAUUGAGAAAAACGCUAGAAGAAAUGGAACUUAGGAUUGAAACACAAAAGCAAACACUAAAUGCCAGAGAUGAAUCAAUAAAAAAGCUUCUGGAAAUGUUGCAAAGUAAAGGUUUGCCAACUAAAGGAAUGGAAGAUGACAAUGAGAGAACUCGAAGGAUGGCAGAGGCUGAAUCUCAGGUUAAUCAUUUAGAAGUGAUUUUAGAUCAGAAGGAGAAGGAGAACAUGCAUCUUAGAGAGGAAUUACAUAGAAGAACUCAACUUCAACCUGAGCCAGCAAAGACGAAGGCUCUUCAAACAGUUAUUGAAAUGAAGGAUACAAAAAUAGCUUCACUUGAGCGCAAUAUAAGAGAUCUUGAAGAUGAGAUACAGAUGUUAAAGACAAAUGGAGUUCUGAAUACAGAGGACCGAGAAGAAGAAAUCAAACAAAUAGAAGUUUACAAGAGUCACUCAAAGUUCAUGAAAAAUAAGAUUGACCAACUGAAACAAGAACUCUCAAAGAAAGAAUCAGAACUUCUUGCCUUACAAACUAAGCUUGAAACCCUUAGCAAUCAAAAUUCAGAUUGCAAGCAACACAUUGAAGUGCUUAAAGAGUCACUUACUGCCAAAGAACAGAGAGCUGCCAUACUUCAAACGGAGGUUGAUGCCUUGCGGUUACGAUUGGAAGAAAAAGAAACCUUUCUGAAUAAAAAAACAAAACAACUUCAAGACCUCACGGAAGAGAAAGGAACCCUGGCUGGAGAAAUUCGAGAUAUGAAAGACAUGUUGGAAGUAAAAGAAAGAAAAAUUAAUGUCCUUCAAAAAAAGAUUGAAAACCUGCAGGAGCAACUUAGGGACAAGGACAAACAACUAACUAAUCUAAAAGACAGAGUGAAGUCAUUGCAGACAGAUUCUAGUAACACAGACACAGCACUAGCAACCUUAGAAGAAGCUCUAUCAGAGAAGGAAAGAAUAAUAGAGCGCUUGAAGGAGCAAAGGGAACGAGAUGACAGAGAAAGACUUGAAGAAAUUGAAUCUUAUAAAAAAGAAAACAAAGACCUGAAGGAGAAAGUUAAUGCUUUACAAGCUGAACUGACAGAAAAAGAGUCUAGUUUAAUCGAUCUCAAAGAACAUGCAUCUUCAUUGGCAUCAGCAGGGCUGAAAAGAGACUCCAAACUUAAGUCUUUAGAAAUAGCCAUAGAACAAAAGAAAGAAGAGUGUAGUAAGUUGGAAGCACAGUUGAAAAAGCAAGCUGAACAGUUGUUCAAUCAGAUGUACAAUCCAAUGCCAAUUAGGAAUAAUGGGAAGCAAGGGGCUCAUGAGGCUGAAGAGGAGGCACGGAUGAAUCCAGAAUUUGCAGACAGAAUGAAACAACUUGACAAAGAGGCAUCGUACUAUAGAGAAGAAUGUGGCAAAGCUCAGGCUGAGGUUGACAGACUUCUAGAAAUACUCAAGGAAGUAGAGAAUGAGAAGAAUGACAAAGAUAAAAAAAUUGCUGAGUUAGAAAGCUUGACUUCCAGACAUAUGAAGGACCAAACCAAGAAGGUUGCCAAUCUGAAGCACAAUCAGCAAAUGGAGAAAAAAAAGAAUGCACAGUUGUUGGAAGAAGUUCGUAGACGAGAGGACAAUAUGACUGACAACUCUCAACAUUUACAAGUAGAAGAGCUGAUGAAUGCACUGGAAAAGACUAGACAAGAAUUAGAUUCUACCAAGGCCCGUCUUGCUUCAACACAGCAGUCUUUGGCUGAAAAAGAAGCACAUCUAGCUAACUUGAGAAUAGAGCGAAGAAAACAGCUUGAAGAAAUUCUAGAAAUGAAACAGGAAGCUUUGCUUGCUGCAAUUAGUGAAAAAGAUGCAAACAUUGCCUUGCUUGAACUGUCUGCUUCAAAGAAAAAGAAGACUCAAGAGGAAGUAAUGGCUCUUAAACGAGAGAAGGACAGAUUAGUACAUCAGUUAAAACAGCAGACACAAAACAGAAUGAAACUGAUGGCAGAUAACUACGAUGAUGACCAUCACCACUACCACCACCAUCACCACCACCACCAUCAUCGAUCUCCUGGGAGGCCACAACACUCCAACCACAGACCCUCUCCAGAUCAGAUGAUCCAGUCACUGUUGGAGGCACAUAGCCACGGCAAAAUCUCAUGCUGUACAUUGAUCACCUGUCCAACCUUUGCCUAGAGUGUGAUCCCCAGUUCCUUCAAGAGAUCCAUCUUUACCUGUCUAUAAAGAAGAAGAGGAGGAGGGAGACAUCUGGGAUAUUCAAGUAUCAAAGUUUAACACCAGAGCAGUUGUCAGAGGAACUAGCGAAAGAGAAAGAAAAAAAUGUAGCACUGGAAGCUAACGAUGAUAAUCUAUUGCAUUGGAUCUCUAAAUAUGACCAUGAUGUCCUGGAGAAGAUCACAGAUGCAGAAAAUGAAUGCUAAGAUUGAUAUCUAAUGAAAUGCUGCAUUAAUUGGCAUUUUCUCCAUUAUCUCUUGUAGUCUGCUAUGAAAUUAGAUACUUUGGAAAAUAAUGAAGGACUCAAGCAGAAAUUAUAAGAGCUUCAUUUCUGUCUUUAAUGGGUAUUGCAAGUUAUUCUGUUUUCACAAAGAAACCAUCUGUUCAGAAUAUUAUUGUUUAAUGAAGUUCACUUAAACAGGUUAUUUAACUAAUUUUUGGUAAAUUGGUAUUGAUUUUAAUAAGCAAUUCAGAUUCUCUUAGAUGUGGUAUCUGCAUUUGCUGGUUUUACCUAGUCUAUUCUAAAGUAUCACUUCUAUUGCACUAGAUUAUCAAAGAGGUAUUAGUAAAAUGCUAUAUAAGGGUGUUGGCAUUAAUCUUACCCCCAGUUAGAUGCGGGCUUUUCCAAAAAAUAAAAACCAAGCCUUUACCCUCCUCUGUUUUCUUAUAUCUAUUGAUAUAUAUAUUUUUUUUUAAUACUAAAAGAGUAACCAAAAAAACAUUGAUAGUAUAACUGGUAUUAAGCUCUGGGCCAGGUUGGAAAUGAAAUCAAUUUUUGGUACUAACAACUGAUGACAAAGAUUAGCUUUAUGAAAAUAUGGUGUGUGUCUCUGACAAUGCAUAGGACAUCUAAUUUGAGCAUAAAUAUAAGAUUAUAUACAAGAUGUAUCUAUUCCUGGACGGUAAAAGCUUGAGGCAUAUAUAGAUACAUAUGUAUGUAUAUAUAUUGACAUAUACACAAGGAUGUAUCAACCUUUUACCAUCCAAAUGCAUACAGGUUUUCAACAAUAAAAGCUGGGACUCUUAAAAAAAAAAUAAACAAAACCAACAAAAAUAAUAAGUUUUCUGUGAAUACAGUAUAUGCACUAGGUCUCCUGUAAACGAGGAACUGUUUGUUAUUGUUUUCUACAUUGAAAAACAGUCUCCAACAUGGAUCCCAAUGAAUCUGAGACGUUAAAGAAAAUCUCAAUCAACAAAUGUCACUUAAAAGCUGUUUGUAUCAACAAAAUGUAUCUAAUAAAAUAAAUUUAAAUCACAUGCAAGGAAAAAUAAAAAUGUGAAGUCAUUACAUUCAGUGAGAGAAUAUAACUGAUAGUCAAAUUUCUACCACUUCUCAAGGAGAGAAUCCUUAUGACUCCAUGAAUAUUUCAGUUGGUCUGGCAAACAUGUGCAAAUGUUUGGCUGUUUUAUUGAGAAAUCUUUUUGUCCAUGGAAGAAUGCUUCCAUGCUGACAGGAGUGGGAAUAGAAUAUCUGCAUUUUUAAAGGACAAACAAUAAAUUUAAGCAUGGGUGGCCUUAAUCCUUAGUAGAUUUUCUUUGCUGCUGUAAAAAAAGAGAAAUUAAAUGGAUACUCCUAAAGUCUUGCACUGAAUUUAGAAAAAUUAUUUUUGAACCUGUGGUGCAAUUAACCCUAAACAUCUUACACGAGCCAUACAUAGUAACCCCUUUAAAAUUAUUGUCUAGAGAUGAUAUUUUAUUUAUUUGUACCAUAAUUCUUGGCACAAUCAAAGAGCAAUUUAUUCGAGCAGGAGUCCUGCUGGAUGCUACUGUCUUCAGUAAGUAGAGUAAAAUGUAUAGAAUUAGUAUAGCAUAGAUAAUCCCAAUUUCAUUAAUGUUUAAAAAGUUUGUCCUUUAACUAUCAAUGGCAUUUUAGAUCUUUGUUUUUGAAACAGCAAAGCUUUUGGGAGUAUAUUUAGCACAUAUGACAAAUGUUGCACUUGGAAACUCAGACAACAAAACUAGUUUCUCAUGACAAAUUUGUUGUCGCAGUAGGGGACAAUCGUCUGUGUCUCUUACAAUCAGGUCUUUACCUUAACUCUGCAACUGAAUACUUGAAGUAGGAAAUAAACUAGGGGGGGAAUAGGGUCACAGAUACAAAGCUGUAUAGUUAGAUAUUUAUAUGUAUGUGCCAAUUUUGUCACAGAUAUUAUUUUAGGGGCAUUUCUGCUCCACUCAUGUUGGUAAGAGUAUUAAUCUAAACUUUUAUCAGGGCCUACAAGUUAGCCCCUAAAGAGGAAAAUUUUGUCUAACAUUGCUUUUUUCUUUCUUCCUUUUUUUUUUUUUCUUUUCAUUUCAUGUGAUAUUCUAUGAUGUUUGGAGAAAAUCUUUUCAUAUACUAAAAUAGAAUCUCGGGGUUUACAAUAAACACUGUGAUGUUGGGAAAUAUUUUAUUUGAGCAAAGUUUGGUAGGCUUUUUCCCCCCUCUAAGUGUAAAGAAGCAAACCAAUUUUUGGUUAAUAUUUAUUGUUAUUAUUAUUAUU